AGUGAACGCUGGCGGUAGGCCUAACACAUGCCAGUCGAACGGCAGCACAGAGGAGCUUGCUCCUUGGGUGGCGAGUGGCGGACGGGUGAGGAAUACAUCGCAAUCUACUCUGUCGUGGGGGAUAACGUAGGGAAACUGACGCUAAUACCGCAUACGACCUACGGGUGAAAGCAGGGGAUCUUCGGACCUUGCGCGAGUGAAUGAGCCGAUGUCGGAUUAGAUAGUUGGCGGGGUUAAGGCCCACCAAGGCGACGAUCCGUAGCUGGUCUGAGAGGAUGAUCAGCCACACUGGAACUGAGACACGGUCCAGACUCCUACGGGAGGCAGCAGUGGGGAAUAUUGGACAAUGGGCGCAAGCCUGAUCCAGCCAUACCGCGUGGGUGAAGAAGGCCUUCGGGUUGUAAAGACCUUUUGUUGGGAAAGAAAUCCAGCCGGCUAAUACCUGGUUGGGAUGACGGUACCCAAAGAAUAAGCACCGGCUAACUUCGUG
This 490-nucleotide ribosomal RNA is filed under the name uncultured bacterium. RNAcentral describes it as "partial 16S ribosomal RNA". It matches the Rfam family "Bacterial small subunit ribosomal RNA", at positions 29 to 507 of the family's 1533-position model. The record is from RNAcentral.